AUUGAACGCUGGCGGCAUGCUUUACACAUGCAAGUCGAACGGCAGCACGGGGGUAACCCUGGUGGCGAGUGGCGAACGGGUGAGUAAUGCAUCGGAACAUAUCUUAAAGUGGGGAAUAACGCAUCGAAAGGUGUGCUAAUACUCCAUAUACUCUAAGGAGGAAAGCGGGGGAUCGAAAGACCUCGUGCUUUAAGGGUGGCCGAUGUCUGAUUAGCUAGUUGGUGGGGUAAAGGCUUACCAAGGCGACGAUCAGUAGCUGGUCUGAGAGGACGAUCAGCCACACUGGGACUGAGACACGGCCCAGACUCCUACGGGAGGCAGCAGUGGGGAAUUUUGGACAAUGGGCGAAAGCCUGAUCCAGCAAUGCCGCGUGGAUGAAGAAGGUCUUCGGAUUGUAAAGUCCUUUCGGCGGGGACGAUGAUGACGGUACCCGCAGAAGAAGCCCCGGCUAACUUCGUGCCAGCAGCCGCGGUAAGGCGUAUGUGU
This 486-nucleotide ribosomal RNA is filed under the name uncultured bacterium. Its description in RNAcentral is "bacterial SSU rRNA". It matches the Rfam family "Bacterial small subunit ribosomal RNA", at positions 30 to 534 of the family's 1533-position model. The record is from RNAcentral.